GAAGUCGUUACUCCAACCCUUGUGGAGGAGGACGCCGAAGGUGGGGCUAAUGACUGGGGUGAAGUCGUAACAAGGUAGCCGUACCGGAAGGUGCGGCUGGAUCACCUCCUAACAGGGAGACAACAAAAUGUAAAUAUUAAUUUUGUCACCUUAGGUCGAUCGGUAUCUCAGAUUCUUAUUAUUUAAGAAUUUCAGUUUCUAAGUUUUUUCUAGGUCACACCCAUCACUUUUUCCUGGGCCAUUAGCUCAGGUGGUUAGGGCGCACCCCUGAUAAGGGUGUGGUCCCUGGUUCAAGUCCAGGAUGGCCCAUAUCUCUAUGUUGGGGGUAUAGCUCAGUUGGUAGAGCGCCUGCUUUGCAAGCAGGAUGUCAGCGGUUCGAGUCCGCUUACCUCCACUGAAUACCACCUCUUACAUAUAGUUGAAGUGGGAAAUUGUUUUGAGUCGUGUCCUAAUUUGCUCUGAGCGAAUCUAGCUUCCUAUUUUAUCCAAGAAAUAAGAUGCUGGACUCAUUGAAUUUUUUUUCAUUGUUUUCAGAGAACCUUGACAACUGCAUAGAUUAUUUUUAAAGACAAUAAGCAUCUUUAAUGAUGCAGAUUUAUUAUUUGUGCGAAUGCAUUAAAUAACAAUUCUAUUAAGCUGAUGCUUCAAUUAUUGAAGUUAUUGGUCAAGCUACAAAGGGCUCACGGAGGAUACCUAGGCACACAGAGGCGAUGAA
RNAcentral lists this unclassified non-coding RNA (715 nucleotides) under uncultured cyanobacterium. RNAcentral describes it as "partial contains 16S ribosomal RNA, 16S-23S ribosomal RNA intergenic spacer, and 23S ribosomal RNA". The stretch from base 1 to 112 matches the Rfam family "Bacterial small subunit ribosomal RNA", at positions 1423 to 1533 of the family's 1533-position model. Lineage: Bacteria; Bacillati; Cyanobacteriota. The record is from RNAcentral.